UAGAUUAAAGCUUUGCUGAAGCGCUGAGCUUUUAACUCAGAGAAGCCUUUUAGGGUUAAUUUAG
Molecule: transfer RNA, 64 nt
Filed under: Bathymodiolus puteoserpentis
Lineage: Eukaryota; Metazoa; Mollusca; Bivalvia; Mytilida; Modiolidae
Also listed under: 1 other name
Description: tRNA-Lys
Source: RNAcentral